RNAcentral lists this ribosomal RNA (253 nucleotides) under uncultured prokaryote. RNAcentral describes it as "partial 16S ribosomal RNA". It matches the Rfam family "Bacterial small subunit ribosomal RNA", at positions 524 to 776 of the family's 1533-position model. The record is from RNAcentral.
UACAGAGGUCCCAAGCGUUGUUCGGAAUUACUGGGCGUAAAGGGCGCGUAGGCGGCCUUCUAAGUCGAACGUGAAAUCCCCGGGCUCAACCCGGGAACUGCGUCCGAUACUGUAAGGCUUGAGUUCGGUAGAGGAGGGCGGAAUUCCAGGUGUAGCGGUGAAAUGCGUAGAUAUCUGGAGGAACACCCGUGGCGAAGGCGGCUCUCUGGUCCGAAACUGACGCUGAGGUGCGAAAGCUAGGGUAGCAAACAGG